Molecule: long non-coding RNA, 991 nt
Organism: Oncorhynchus tshawytscha (Chinook salmon)
Lineage: Eukaryota; Metazoa; Chordata; Actinopteri; Salmoniformes; Salmonidae
Source: Ensembl
GAGUUCCUUACUGAGACCUGGACAACCAGGUGAGGGGAGUUCCUUACUGAGACCUGGACAACCAGGUGAGGGAGUUCCUUACUGAGACCUGGACAACCAGGAGAGGGGAGUUCCUUACUGAGACCUUGACAACCAGGUGAGGGGAGUUCCUUACUGAGACCUGGACAACCAGGUGAGGGGAGUUCCUUACUGAGACCUUGACAACCAGGUGAGGGGAGUUCCUUACUGAGACCUGGACAACCAGGUGAGGGGAGUUCCUUACUGAGACCUGGACAACCAGGUGAGGGGAGUUCCUUACUGAGACCUGGACAACCAGGUGAGGGGAGUUCCUUACUGAGACAACCAGGUGAGGGGAGUUCCUUACUAAGACAACCAGGUGAGGGGAGUUCCUUACUAAUUAAUGACCUUUUUUCAUCAAUCAAGUACAAGGGAGCAGGGAGCAGGGAAAACUGGCAGACACUGGGAGUUUGACACGGGCCUAACCCUAACCCUUACCCUAACCCUAACCUCGUCCUUAGACUAAUUGUUACUGAGUAUAAGGGCAUAUUCAACAGAGAGAGAGAGCUGACUGGUGGAGGAGACUAGACUUGCCCUCACACAGUCCAAUAUCCACUUUUGCUUAUUUGAUAAAUAAAAAAUAUUCCUCACUCAGAUCUCACAUGUACUCGCUAAUGUCUGUCCACUGAUUACUAAAAUCUCCUCUCAUUUCCUUACUGUUAGUGUGUCUGACUCAUUGUUUUUGGGCUGGGCAGGACAUCCUCAGCUGCCUCUAGUUGAUUUCUCUCUGCUUUCCUGCUCUCUCUCUUUCAAUUUCCUCCUCUCUUCUCUCUCUCUCUACAUUUCCUUCUCUCUCUCUCUCUCCAUUUCCGCCUCCUUCUGUUUGCCCAUUUGAUUAACUCUGAUCAUUUCCUCCUUAGGUUUAGAUUACCAGCCUUGGACGCAGUAGGCAGUGUCAGUCAGCACCAGGCAGGUGUAAGGGCGGGGUCUACUC